Molecule: long non-coding RNA, 6655 nt
Filed under: Homo sapiens (human)
Lineage: Eukaryota; Metazoa; Chordata; Mammalia; Primates; Hominidae
Description: non-protein coding lnc-DDX18-1:6
Source: RNAcentral
GCAGGCCGAGCUGCCCUUCCCUCCCUGCUGCCCCCAGGGAAGGCUGCUGGUGUCCUCAGAUGCGGGCAGGAGGAACCCGCCAGCGCCUGAGAGCCUGGCCCGAACCAGGCCUGGAGGUGCUGGGGCGAAGACACAGAGGAUGUGGCCUCCAUCCCUGGUAACAGACGGUUACCAGGGCGGCUUUGGGUGAGGACAUUGAAAAAGGUCAGACUCCCUGGGAGCAGCGCCCUGGACUCCAUUCUCAUCACAGGUAUAUUUGUGUGGCUACUAAGAGUAAGAGCCUGGGGGUGCAGGAGUGAUUCCAGCCCCCUCCUACAAAGUCAUGUGAGAGGGAUCUGAAGAAAAUCCAGGGGAAAAUGUACCACAGCGAGGAAAUCGCCAUCUAAAGGGCUGAACGCUCAAGAACGGCGUUGGGUGGGCUCCGCGUUGGAGUUGAGUCCCGAAGGAUGUUCUAACAGCAAAGGGGAGAAAGGAAGAGAGAAGCCAAGGCGUGCGGGCAACGUGAACCGCAUGAGCCGAGGCAAAGGGGCAGCGUGGGGCUGGACCCUGGAGUCUGCUCCUGUCUGAAUUCUAGUGCUGUCACUGACUAGCAAGGAACUUCCCUGUGCCUCGUGGCUGUCACAUGGAAAGACAGCACCGCCAUCCAGCCCUUAUACCGUAAGGGUUAUAUGAACUAGCACUGUGGGCAUUAGCAGAGCAUGCUGUACACUUUGGUAUAUUGUGAGAAUGAAAUAAAUCAACAAAUGCAAAGCAGGUUUUGCAUAACAAAGACUAAACAAGUGUUAGUUAGCUCCUUUCCUCCUUCCCGCCUGUGAAAAUGCUGUCUUAUGAUGUCCUUUAAUUAUUUCGUGUGGUUAAGCUUCAGCUUAUUGGCCAGUUCAUCCUUGUAGAUACAAGUAUUUUUAAAGCCUCCAAUUUUAAUUUCCUCACAGACCAUUGCUGUACUUGUCCUUACAUCUACUUCAUACUGAAAUUUUCUUUCUGUUUCUUUAUGUCUCUGCAUCUAGACCAGUGGUUCCCAAUUGAAGUCAGUUUUGCUCCUCAGGGCACACUUAACAACAUCUGGAGACAUUUUUAAUUGUCCUGACCGAGAGGACAAUGCUACUGGCAUCUAGUGGACAGAGGCCAGGGAUACUGCUGAACAUCCCGCAGUGCACAGGACGCCUGCAACACAGAUUAUCCAGCCCCAAACGUCAAUAGUGCCGGAGUUAUGGAACCCUAAUGAAGACAAUUCUUGAAGGCAUAGACUGAAUCUUAUUUAUCUUUGUUUCCCUCAUGUCUCACAAGCAGAGUAUGAGUUCAGCAAAUAGGAGUUGAACAGAAAUCAGGAGGAGGUGCUGAUUGACAGGAAAAAAGAAAGAUUUAGUUUAGAGCUGAGAAUUCAGCUGGACAGCCAUAGGGGCUCUGGCAUGGAGACUGGAAGUCAGAAGAGAAUUUGCAGCAAGACAUUUAGAGCCAUUUAUCCAGCCAUCAUAAUUUUAUUGAGUAACUAUUUUGUGUGAGGCACUGUACUGGAUGCUUUGGCAACAGAGAUAAGCAAGGCAACCCCUGUGAAUAAGGCACUCCUGGUCUACACACAGUGGGAGAAACAUAGAAAUUCAUCUCUUCUGAGCGGAGCCUGUGGGAACCCAGAGGAUGGACACCCAGCGUGGUCUGAGGAAUCAUGGGCCAAAACAGGAGGCAUCAGGAGAGAUCUCUUGGGUAAAGAAGAGUGAGGGCUGGAAGGAUAUUCCAGGCAGUGGGAACAACUUACAUAAAGUGAGAAUAUUGCAAAUGCCUAGCGGGUCUGUAGUGAGAGGGUCAUGAGGCGGAGGAGUGAGGUGCGUAGCAAGGAAUAGCAGGUGGGGCCAGAGCAGUAAAAUUAACCAUUGUUCUAUUUGAAGAAGGGUAGGACGCAUUUUUAGGUUUUUUGGCUAUUUCUCCUUUUGGUAAUAGCAUCUAUUUUCUUUAGAGAAUUAUCUCUUCCCCCUCACUCCUCUCCUAGUGGAGGUACAGGCAUGAGAAAAAGCUAAACCAAUGACAUGUUCUCAAAUAUAACUUACAAUCCCAGGAGUCAUGAUGAAAUGGUUGAAAAAAAAAAUAGUUGAAGCUCACUAACCUUAGCAUCACAUUUCAAUGAGAUUGUCAAAUAAUUCUUGUUUCCCAGGCCCCCAGAGCUGCCGAGUUUCUGACUUCUCUAAGCCAGGUUCACAAGCCUUCCCUUCAAUUCUGUGAGGAUUUUUUUCCCCAUUUUUCCUGAAGUUACGUGGUCACUUUCUGUUACUUGCAACCAGAGUAACUUAAUUGAUAAAGUCAGUGAGGAAGGAAUAGAAUACAACAAAUGGCUUAAAAACAGAAGGCCAAGCGUGAUGGCUCAUUCCUGUAAUCCCAGCACUUUGUGAGGCCGAGGCAGGUGGAUUGCUUGAGCUCAGGAGUUCAAGACCAACCUGGGCAACAUGGCAAAACCCCAUCUCUACCAAAAAUACAAAAAAUUAGCCGGGCGUGGUGGCUCACACCUGUAGUCCCAAUUUCUCAGAAGGCUGAGGUGGGAGGAUCACUUGAACCCAGGAGGAGGAGGUUUCAGUCAGUAGAGAUUGAACUACUAUACUCUAGCCUGGAUGACAAAGUAAGACCUUGUCAAAAAAAAAAAAAAAAAAAAAAAAAAAAAAAGAAGGAUAAUCAAGACAAUGAGCUAACACAGAAGCCAUAGUGGACUUUCUUCAAUAUUUUAAGAAAGGUGAAAAAUAGCAGGAAUUUAACCUCUCAAAAAUGCUAUUCCCAUUAUCUAUUCUUCCUCAGCUACAAAGCCCCUGAUUUCACCUAGGCACAUGGCUGCCCAAAAAAGACAACCCUGUCUGGCCCCCCUUAAACCUGAUUGUAGCUAUCUAAGUUGUAGCCAAUGAGGUGUCAGAGGAAGUACCAUGCAGUGCAACUUCUUAAGUAGCCUAGAAAGAUGGGGUCACAUCCCCCUGGGUUGUUUCCUUCUUUGUGUCAUUUUGAUCUCUCUCGCUGGAAAACAGAAAUGAUGUCUGGAGUGUAAGCAGCCAUCUUGGGCUAGGAGACUACAUGCUGACAUGGUGACACACCACCCAGAAAGAAUCUGAGUAGUCGAUGAUCACAGAGCUACCAUAUCAGCACUAGACUCUCUACCUCCACAUUUUAUUUGUGUGACAUAGAAAUAAAGUUUAAGCUUUGUUUUUUCUGGGGUGUAUGUGUGUACACAUGUGCGUCUCUGUCUGUCUCACAUGCAGUGAGACCUAAUUCUAACUGAUAUGCCGGUAGGAUGGGGGGACCUUGCCACAAGGUAUAAUUGUGGUGGGAUGGCUGUGUCUUGCUCCCAUUCAGGAUCCAUGGAAAGCUCCUCCUCCUUCCUGUUCCCCUGGAUGCCAAGCGAUGGGCCUGAGACCCUGGCUUUGCCAUGUGGAUGCUCCCCCUCAGGACUUUGGAUGUGCAGUGAUUGCUACAAAAAGGGCAAUGAAGAUGCCUGGACCACAGCCACACAGUCUCCAUCACAGCAGUGGUAUUCUGUGGAAUGAGUACUAAUUUUCUGGCCACAUUUUCUGUUAAAAACUGGUUGUUGAGCUGCCCACUUGUCUUGGUCAAGGGAUGCUGGAGUGGCCUGGGAAGGCAGUGUUGUUUGCUUUUCUUAGGAUGGAACACACUUAGGCAUAUUUUUGGUCAAAGCAAAAGAAGAAUUCAAAGGUGAGAGAAGUUGAAGAUAAAAAGGGGAAAAUGAGGGUAGCAGAUGAAGCAAAGUCACACAGAAAGCUGGCAGGCGAGUAGUAGAAUCAGAGUACAGGCUGAGCAUCCCAAAUCUGAAAAUCCAAAAUCGGAAGUGCUCCAAAACCUGAAACUUUUGGAGCACCAACACAAUGCUCAAAGUAAAUGCUCAGUGAAGCAUUUUGGAUUUCAUAUUUUCAGAUUUGGGUUUGCCCAACCGGUGUAAUACAAAUAUUCCAAAAUCAAAAAAAAAAAAAAAAAAAAAUCUAAAGUCUGAAACACUCCUGGUCCCAAGCAUUUUGAAUACAGGAUACUCAACCUGUAUGACACUUUCCUAUUGGACCCUCUUUCCUACCCCAAAUAAUACUUAAUAAGUUUUUGUUUCAAAAGUGCCACUCUGAGCAUCUUUGGCUAUAAGGAGCAGAGUCACAUUCUAGCUCCCCUGGCACCUGCUUCACAGGAGCCCAUGUGAGAAGACCAGGUUCUGGUCAGGACAGGCAUACCUGAGAGCUGUUGGGGUCUGUGAUCUGCUGAAAAAUGACUUCUCAAUGUUCUUCACAUCCUAAUCCUCAGAAACUGUGAAUAUAUUACUUUAUAUGACAACAGGGAUUUUAAAGAUGUGAUUAAGUAAAUAGUUUGGAGAUGGACAGAUUAUCCUGGAUUAUCCAGAUGGGCCCAAUGUAAACACAAGGGCCCUCAUGAGAGGGAGGCAAGAGGGUCAGAGAAGAUGCUGUGACAGCAGAAGCAGAGGACAGAGAGUCGCAGAGAGAUUUGAAGAUACUACACAGCUGGCUUUGAAAAUGCAGGAAAGGGCCAUAUCUGUUGCUUCACACCACUAAGUUUGUGAUAAUUUGUUACAGCAGCAGUGGGAAACUAAUAGAGCAUCUUUCCUUUUUUUCUAGUUAAAGGACUCACUUGUACGUGUACACAUUUCUCAGGAGUCCUGUCAACCACUGGGAAGAAAGAGGCUGGACUUCUGCAUUGAACCCAGGAACGGGGUUUCACAGCAAUGGAAACCUGGGGUUAAAUAUCAAUGGAACCUUACAUGACUUGAAGAAUCUUUAAUACAAGCUAGGUUUUGACCCCAAAUUAGACAUUUGGCAGCCUCUCAUUACAGUCUAUCUUGCAAACCUCAGUGUGGCAAGGAAUCAGAUUCACCCACACUCCCUAGUCUAAAGGAUUGUCCUCUGAUCCUUCCAGGUGGAUUAAGCCCUUUCUAAUCUGUCAUGGACAGAGCAAUGUACCUGCCUUUGUUUGUUUUCCUUAAUUCUUUCAAGUGCCUUUGGGUAAUAAAUGGUUGCGUACUCAGGUUUUUAGUCCAAAUUUUUUUUCUUCAACUCUAGGUAAUUGCUUUACUUGCCAGAAUAGGUUACCAUAGCAAUAUUUUCUGAGCAAUAGGUGAACUGAAUUGUACUAUUGAGGAAGCCCAGGAGAAAAAUACUAAUAACAACCUGAGAAAGUCUAAUCACUUUAUGGAGCCUCAGGGCUGUGAAGAGGGGGAUAAGACGGACUCCCUGGGUGAUUAGGAAGUGCUGCUGCCAGCUCACACAGGACGCAAUGUGAGAAGCCACCCAUGGUCCCCAAAUUCCCCCAUCUCCUGAUAUCCAAGUCCCCCAUCCAAGCUGCUUAAAUGACAAAAGACAAAUGUAAACUGGGGAAACAUUUGAAAUGCAUAUCAAAAAGGGGUAUUUCACAAAGCUCUCCAACAGGAGGCCUAGGAAGAUGGUAACAGCGAUACCAGAAUAAUGUUUGGAUCUUCCAGAGUGCCCAUGUGAAAACAGAGCAACCAAACUGAAAAGCCAUGGACAACAAAAGUCGGUGACAAAGUGUCACCUUGAAUCCUGAAAUACAAGUAAGUGGAAUUGCUGGUCGUAAUUCUACGAUUAGCUUAUUAAGAAACUGCCAGCUUUGCACAGCAGCUGCACCAUUAUUUAUUACAUUUCAUGAGAGCUGCAAGUUUUUUGCCUCCUUGCUAACACUUGUUAUUUAUAUUUUUCAUUUUUCUUAUAGCCAUCCUGGUGGGUAUAAAAUAAUAUCUCAUUAUGGUUUUGAUUACAUUUUCCUAAUGACUCAUAUCACUUAGCAUCUUUUUAGGUGUUUGUUGGCCAUUUGUAUAUCUUCUUUAGAGAAAUAUCUUUUCAGAUCCUUUGCCCUUUUAAAAAUUGGGAAAUUUAAAUUGCUGAGUUGAAAAAGUUCUUCACAUAUGUUGGAUACUAGACUCUUAUCAAAUAUAUAAUUUGCAAAUAUUUUCUCCCAUUCUGUGGGUUGUCUUCACUUUCUUAGUAGUGCACAACUUGUCAACUUGUCCUUUGAUGCACAAGUUUCAAAUUUUGACAAGCCCAAUUUAUCCAUUGUUUUCUUUUGUUGCUUGUGCCUUCGGUGUCAUAGUUAAGAAACCAGUGCACAAGCUACUGCUCUGAAGAGUUUCCUCUAUGUUGUCUCCUAAGAGUUUUAUAUUUUUAGCUCUUAACUUUCAGUCUUUGAUAGAUUUUGAGUUAAUGUUUGCAUUAGGUAUGAGAUAAGGAUUCAACAUCUUUCUUUUACAUGCGGAUGUUCCAGAACAAUUUGUUGAAGAGAGUGUUCCUUUUCCCAUAGAAUGGUCUUGGCACUGUUCAAAAAUCAAUUGACCAUUGAUAUAUGAAUUUAUUUAUGAACUCUCAAUUCUGUUCCAUUGGUGUAUAUGUGUAUCCUGAUGCCAGAACCACACUUUUUUGAUUACUGUAGCUUUGCAGUCAGUUUUGAUCCUGUGAAUUAUGAGUCAUUCAACUUUAUUCUUUUCUCAAAAUUGUUUUGGCUAUUCCAGGUUCUUGAGAUUCCAUAUAAAUUUUAGGACUGAGUUUUCUAUUUCUGAAAAAAAAAGGCUGUUGUGAUUUUGAUAUGGAUUGCAUUAAAUCUAUAGAUUGCUUUGAGAAGUAAUGAUACCUUAAUAAUAUAAUGUUGUCUUUCAAUGUAUGAA